Molecule: ribosomal RNA, 1418 nt
Filed under: Staphylococcus aureus
Lineage: Bacteria; Bacillati; Bacillota; Bacilli; Caryophanales; Staphylococcaceae
Description: bacterial SSU rRNA
Rfam family: Bacterial small subunit ribosomal RNA
Source: RNAcentral
UGCAAGUCGAGCGAACGGACGAGAAGCUUGCUUCUCUGAUGUUAGCGGCGGACGGGUGAGUAACACGUGGAUAACCUACCUAUAAGACUGGGAUAACUUCGGGAAACCGGAGCUAAUACCGGAUAAUAUUUUGAACCGCAUGGUUCAAAAGUGAAAGACGGUCUUGCUGUCACUUAUAGAUGGAUCCGCGCUGCAUUAGCUAGUUGGUAAGGUAACGGCUUACCAAGGCAACGAUGCAUAGCCGACCUGAGAGGGUGAUCGGCCACACUGGAACUGAGACACGGUCCAGACUCCUACGGGAGGCAGCAGUAGGGAAUCUUCCGCAAUGGGCGAAAGCCUGACGGAGCAACGCCGCGUGAGUGAUGAAGGUCUUCGGAUCGUAAAACUCUGUUAUUAGGGAAGAACAUAUGUGUAAGUAACUGUGCACAUCUUGACGGUACCUAAUCAGAAAGCCACGGCUAACUACGUGCCAGCAGCCGCGGUAAUACGUAGGUGGCAAGCGUUAUCCGGAAUUAUUGGGCGUAAAGCGCGCGUAGGCGGUUUUUUAAGUCUGAUGUGAAAGCCCACGGCUCAACCGUGGAGGGUCAUUGGAAACUGGAAAACUUGAGUGCAGAAGAGGAAAGUGGAAUUCCAUGUGUAGCGGUGAAAUGCGCAGAGAUAUGGAGGAACACCAGUGGCGAAAGCGACUUUCUGGUCUGUAACUGACGCUGAUGUGCGAAAGCGUGGGGAUCAAACAGGAUUAGAUACCCUGGUAGUCCACGCCGUAAACGAUGAGUGCUAAGUGUUAGGGGGUUUCCGCCCCUUAGUGCUGCAGCUAACGCAUUAAGCACUCCGCCUGGGGAGUACGACCGCAAGGUUGAAACUCAAAGGAAUUGACGGGGACCCGCACAAGCGGUGGAGCAUGUGGUUUAAUUCGAAGCAACGCGAAGAACCUUACCAAAUCUUGACAUCCUUUGACAACUCUAGAGAUAGAGCUUUCCCCUUCGGGGGACAAAGUGACAGGUGGUGCAUGGUUGUCGUCAGCUCGUGUCGUGAGAUGUUGGGUUAAGUCCCGCAACGAGCGCAACCCUUAAGCUUAGUUGCCAUCAUUAAGUUGGGCACUCUAAGUUGACUGCCGGUGACAAACCGGAGGAAGGUGGGGAUGACGUCAAAUCAUCAUGCCCCUUAUGAUUUGGGCUACACACGUGCUACAAUGGACAAUACAAAGGGCAGCGAAACCGCGAGGUCAAGCAAAUCCCAUAAAGUUGUUCUCAGUUCGGAUUGUAGUCUGCAACUCGACUACAUGAAGCUGGAAUCGCUAGUAAUCGUAGAUCAGCAUGCUACGGUGAAUACGUUCCCGGGUCUUGUACACACCGCCCGUCACACCAGGAGAGUUUGUAACACCCGAAGCCGGUGGAGUAACCUUUUAGGAGCUAGCC